Molecule: non-coding RNA, 102 nt
Organism: Acanthosepion pharaonis
Lineage: Eukaryota; Metazoa; Mollusca; Cephalopoda; Sepiida; Sepiidae
Source: the annotation of a GenBank genome assembly
CCACUUUGAAACCUCAGUUCCCAUACGAUCAUCGAAGUUAAGCAACGUUGAGACGGGUCAGUGCUUAAAUGGGUGAUCGCUUAGGAAUACAAGAUGCUGUAA